This 1986-nucleotide long non-coding RNA is filed under the name Homo sapiens (human). RNAcentral's name for it is "HSALNT0318465". Lineage: Eukaryota; Metazoa; Chordata; Mammalia; Primates; Hominidae. The record is from RNAcentral.
GAUUGUGAGGCCUCCCCCAAAUUGCCCAGUCUUGGAAAAUCUGAAUUGAUACAGCAGCUCAUCUGAAAAAAAAAGAUGGGGUGGUGGUGGUGGUGGAGAAAACAGCAACUUAAAUAGUGCCAUCUACGAAUUAGGAGUGUUCACUGAAUGAGCAUGAGAUGCAGGUACCUUGUUCCCUCAGCCAGGUUCUAUGUUCCUUAAAGUCCUAAUUUUAGUCAGUAAAUAUUUAUGGCAUUUACUCUAUGCCAGACAAUGUUCUAAAUAUUUUAUUUAUACUGAAUUAUUUGGUGUUUACAUCAGCCAUAUGAUUAACUACUGUUUCCAUUUUGCAGAUGAGAACAUUGAAGCACAGAGAAAUUAUGUUAACUUGUCCAGUGCCAAAGAGCUAUUAAGUGGCAGAGCUGGGAUUUACUUCCACUGCACUGUUGCCUCUUUGGUUAGGAGCUCUUUGCUGUGCUGAGAUUGCAGUAUUUAAAGAUAGACACUGCACCAGGAACUGGAGGACAAGGUAGCCAAUUUCUUGCCAUUCUAUUAAGGGAGGAAGAUUUUAAACAAAUAACUACAACAAAAUGUACAGAGUGGCAUGAUCAAAGGAGUACAAGGAGCUAUCAGAGAUGACUAGGAGUUGGCCAGAUGAAGAAAGUGUAGAGGGAAGUGUCUUGAAACCUUUCCCCUGAACAAACCUGAAAGGAACCCUGCCUCCAUCUUCAGCUCUGGAGGUUCAUGCAAGUGGUUUGGAGCUAAUUCAUCCAAAACUGGCAUAGCGAUUCAGGAAUCCAGGUCUAAGACAGUUAGCACUUGCUAGGCCCCUGGACUCCAUUCAUGAAUCGAUCAAGCUCAGGCCAGAGACACAAGAGGGAGAAAUUCUUAGGGUUCUAAGUCAGACAUUUCCUAUAACUGAAAAACAAACCACUGGAUGUCAGAGGGAAGUAAAUACACUGAGUAAGGGUCAAUCAAAAAACUAUGGAGAAACUGAGUUAUAGUCUUCAGGUUAAUAAAUCCUCAAGUCUAGCUGGUUUCUAGGUUUCUUUUUUCCUGAGCCAAAUGUAUUUCCUUAUUAUUUAAGAUAGUCUGAAUUUUUGUUGCUUUGUUAUUGUUGUUCUCACUUAAACAAACCACCUCUGAUAUGUUUUGUUCCUUCUCUUGCCAUGAGACACACUGGCUCCUUUUCACAUUUUGCUAUGAUUGUAAGCUUCCUGAGGCUGCCAACCAGAAGCUAAGCAGAUGCUGUUACUUUGCUUGUGAAGUCUGCAGAAUGAUGAGACAAAUAAACCUCUUUUCUUUCUGAAUUACCCAGCUUCAGAUGUUACAUCCUUGCCUUUACUAUCAUGCUGGAGAAAAAUCAUUCUUUGGAGAAUAAACUAGUGGGAGUGUGGUCUCAGGGACACCAACAUCUGGGGAGAGCAAGGUAGUGUGGCAUGGGAUUAAAGAAAACGUAUACAACAAAUUCGGAGACCCUCAGCAGCCUUCCCCCAUUGCUUUAGAAGGCCAGCAGCCAGACAUAUGUCCUAUUCUUCACCUUCUACAGCAGCAGAUUGGAAGGUCAUUUUGUGUAGAAAUGAAGUGGGCCCAGAGAGAUUUUUAGACACAGACAUGUGGAGCUCUCCAUCAGGAAGGAUGGCUUGCCCUUUCAUUACCCCGAGUAAAACCCAGCAAUUAAGUAUCUGCCCAUGCUUACAGUGCUUCAGAUGAAACACUUGAUGCUUCACUCUGAAAAAACAAGCGGACAAUCCAGGAUAACUGGAUAUUUUGAGGAAGGCUUUCCACAUGAAAGAGCUGAAAACACGCACAAUAUCAACCAGCCAAUGAAAGAAACAAAUCAACAAAACAACAAGGAAAAGGAAUUCAGUGAAAUAGAGACAAUGUUGGGAACAAAGGAAAAUUUUCAAAAAGCUGCCACUAAUAACUUCAGAAAUACAAGAAAAUUUGUUGCAUCUUUAGAAUAACAACAGGAAGCUUGGGAAAAAGAAACAUCAGAGCAAUAAA